GGCACAGUGCCAGAGUGGUUAAUGGGUGAGACUCGAAUCAACACAUUUAUAAUGUUUGAUCUAAACGAUAUCUCAUGGCCUCGGCCGCGCAAGUUCGAAUCUUGUCUGUGUCG
RNAcentral lists this transfer RNA (113 nucleotides) under Macrophomina phaseolina. Its description in RNAcentral is "tRNA-Ser". It matches the Rfam family "tRNA". Rfam says of the family: Transfer RNA (tRNA) molecules are approximately 80 nucleotides in length. Their secondary structure includes four short double-helical elements and three loops (D, anti-codon, and T loops). Further hydrogen bonds mediate the characteristic L-shaped molecular structure. tRNAs have two regions of fundamental functional importance: the anti-codon, which is responsible for specific mRNA codon recognition, and the 3' end, to which the tRNAs corresponding amino acid is attached (by aminoacyl-tRNA synthetases). tRNAs cope with the degeneracy of the genetic code in two manners: having more than one tRNA (with a specific anti-codon) for a particular amino acid; and 'wobble' base-pairing, i.e. permitting non-standard base-pairing at the 3rd anti-codon position. The record is from RNAcentral. RNAcentral also lists the same sequence under 1 other name. Lineage: Eukaryota; Fungi; Ascomycota; Dothideomycetes; Botryosphaeriales; Botryosphaeriaceae.